Molecule: non-coding RNA, 2161 nt
Organism: Arachis ipaensis
Lineage: Eukaryota; Viridiplantae; Streptophyta; Magnoliopsida; Fabales; Fabaceae
Source: RefSeq, a predicted model, not a curated record
GGAAACUUUCAUGGAGGGAGAAGAACAAAAAUAAAAACCUAACCCUCACUUCAACUUUAAAUCCACGUAACUUUUGAUCCGGAGCUCCGAUUGACGAUCCGUUUGCAGUCACGCGACCGCGGCGUUAAGCUCUACAAAGCCCAUAAUAUUGUAAGGAUCGAAUUAACUUGGUGGACUUGGCGAGUCUUGUCCUAAUUUUUUGUUGAUAAGGUGUGUAUGUAUGUAUGAUAUGAAGUCCUUGGAGCCAUUGGAAGCUUGAUUGAGAUCUUGGUUGGUGAUAGAGCUGAUUUUCGGUGUUGAGGGUUUGCCCUUGUCUAAGUGGGUUGUCUUGAAAAAUAUGUGGAAAUCGGUCAAGAUGCAGGUCGAGCGGCACCUCGGUAGGCGUCUGAAGCUUCUGCGGCAAAGUGGUUUACUUUGGGAUCUCCUUUUAUUCUUUGAUGUGUAUAUAUAUAUAUAGUUUCUCCACUUGUAUAUAAGAACACCAAUGUCUGCGUUAGCUACCAUAUGUGUCGCGUUCUGGAAAAGUAACCGACACGUGAGCUCACGGCCAGUAGGAUAGACAUUCAUCAUAUGCAUAUGUGUGCUUUGUUUGCUAUGCCUUAAUUGGGAAUGCCUAAUUGAUUAUAUUCUGCUAAUUGUUGUAAUUGUUACUUGAACCACUUGUUUUCUACCUAUGUUUGCCUUGUCUAUUUGUUUUGUCUAUGCGAAUCAUUGGAGAUGGAGGUACGGAGGAAAGAUGGAUAGGUUUAGAGUUAAGGUUAAAGGUUAAGCUAGGUUUAGAAUUCCCUAGAAGACCACCCUUUUUAUAAUUUCUAUUUAGUAAUUUAAGCUUUAAAAUUUGAGAGUCGGCAUUCUAUGAUUGCCUCUGGCAUUCCCAAGACCUUAUAUAUUAUAUGCGUGGCACCUUUACCAUGCUGAGAACCCCCGGUUCUCAUCCCAUACGGUGUUGUUGUUUUCAGAUGCAGGUUGAGCGGCACCUCGGUAGGCGUUUGAAGCUUCUGCAGCAAAGUGGUUUACUUUGGGAUCUCCUUUUAUUCUUUGAUGUGUAUAUAUAUAUAUAUUUUCUCCACUUGUAUAUAAGAACACCAAUGUCUGCGUUAGCUACCAGAUGUGUCGCGUUCUGGAAAAGUAACCGACACGUGAGCUCACGGCCAGUAGGAUAGACAUUCAUCAUAUGCAUAUGUGUGCUUUGUUUGCUAUGCCUUAAUUGGGAAUGCCUAAUUGAUUAUAUUCUGCUAAUUGUUGUAAUUGUUACUUGAACCACUUGUUUUCUACCUAUGUUUGCCUUGUCUAUUUGUUUUGUCUAUGCGAAUCAUUGGAGAUGGAGGUACGGAGGAAAGAUGGAUAGGUUUAGAGUUAAGGUUAAAGGUUAAGCUAGGUUUAGAAUUCCCUAGAAGACCACCCUUUUUAUGAUUUCUAUUUAGUAAUUUAAGCUUUAAAAUUUGAGAGUCGGCAUUCUAUGAUUGCCUCUGGCAUUCCCAAGACCUUAUAUAUUAUAUGCGUGGCACCUUUACCAUGCUGAGAACCCCCGGUUCUCAUCCCAUACGGUGUUGUUGUUUUCAGAUGCAGGUCGAGCGGCACCUCAAUAGGCGUCUGAAGUUUCUGCGGCAAAGUGGUUUACUUUGGGAUCUCCUUUUAUUCUUUGAUGUGUAUAUAUAUAUAUAGUUUCUCCACUUGUAUAUAAGAACACCAAUGUCUGCGUUAGCUACCCGAUGUGUCGCGUUCUGGAAAAGUAACCGACACGUGAGCUCACGGCUAGUAGGAUAGACAUUCAUCAUAUGUAUAUGUGUGCUUUGUUUGCUAUGCCUUAAUUGGGAAUGCCUAAUUGAUUAUAUUCUGCUAAUUGUUGUAAUUGUUACUUGAACCACUUGUUUUCUAUCUAUGUUUACUUUGUCUAUUUGUUUUGUCUAUGCGAAUCAUUGGAGAUGGAGGUACGGAGGAAAGGUGGAUAGGUUUAGAGUUAAGGUUAAAGGUUAAGCUAGGUUUAGAAUUCCCUAGAAGACCACCCUUUUUAUGAUUUCUAUUUAGUAAUUUAAGCUUUAAAAUUUGAGAGUCGGCAUUCUAUGAUUGCCUCUGGCAUUUCCAAGACCUUAUAUAUUAUAUGCAUGGCACCUUUACCGUGCUGAGAACCGCCGGUUCUCAUCCCAUACGGUGUUGUUGU